GACCGUGAUAAUGUAGCANAAUCAUUCGCCAUUUAAUUGAUGGAUAGUAUGAAUGGUAUAACGAAUAUAACGCUGUCUCAAAUAAAAAUCUUAUGAAAUUAGAAUAAUAGUAAAGAUACUAUUUUAAACUGUAAGACGAGAAGACCCUAUAGAGCUUAACUAUAACUCUUUAAAAAAUCGAUAAACUAGUUUAUUAGUAAAAAGAGAUAGGUAGUUUAGUUGGGGCGACUACUUUCUAAAAUUAACGAAAGUAAACAAAANUUAAUUAAAAAANUUUACUGUUUAAUCUAUAAAUUUAACAGUUAUUACAAUAGGUAAUAAUGACCCGUUAAUAAUUAAUAAUAAUAUUAACGAUCAAUAAAUAAAAGCUACCUUAGGGAUAACAGGAUAAUUUUGUUCUAGAGAUCAAAUCGAAAACAAAGUUUGUCACCUCUAUGUUGAAUUAAGACAUCCUAAAAGUGCAGAAGCUUUUAAGGGUAGGUCUGUUC
Molecule: ribosomal RNA, 488 nt
Filed under: Zanclea sp. MA0117121
Lineage: Eukaryota; Metazoa; Cnidaria; Hydrozoa; Anthoathecata; Zancleidae
Description: partial large subunit ribosomal RNA
Rfam family: Bacterial large subunit ribosomal RNA
Source: RNAcentral